Salvia splendens (bonfire salvia) is the source of this 1123-nucleotide RNA transcript. It is a transcript of the gene named U4/U6.U5 small nuclear ribonucleoprotein 27 kDa protein-like, with no coding region annotated. The transcript has 3 exons. The record is from RefSeq and is a predicted model, not a curated record. NCBI's taxonomy places the organism in Eukaryota, Viridiplantae, Streptophyta, Magnoliopsida, Lamiales, Lamiaceae.
GCUCCGCAAAACCCAAAAUCUUUCAAAAUCCCCAAAUCUCCGCCGUCCGCCAUGAGCGACCGCCGCGACAGGGACAGAGAUAGAAACAGAGACCGAGAUCGUGACCGGAAAAGAAUCCGCGACGACCGUGACCUCGAUCGCGAUCGCGACCGAGACCGUGACCGCGACCGCAGCAGACGCUCCCACUCUCGCACGCCCGACCGAACCAGAUCCCGCCACACACGCUCCCGAACUCGUUCUCCCGACGAAAGGGACCGCCACCGCCACCGACACCGCCACCACCGCUCUCGCUCUCGCUCUCGCUCCCCUACCUCCCCUACUCGUAAGCGCCUCAAGGACAACGUCGUUCUCAAGGACAAGGACGACGCCGUUUCGAAGGAUAAGAAGCAGAAGGAGAACGCCUCUGCUGGAAUUGAUGAUGGCAACAAGGAUCUGGAUCUGAUGGAUGAGGAUGAGAUGGAGAUGAUGAAGAUGUUCGGCAUUCCAGCGGGGUUCGAUUCCACCAAGGGGAAGCCGGUGGCAGGAAACGACGUCGGUGCGGUGAGGAAAGUCACGAAGCGGCAGCCACGCCAGUACAUGAACCGCCGCGGCGGAUUCAAUCGCCCUCUCCCUCCCGAGCGUAAUCGUUGAUAACUGAUCAUUGCCUGCAGAUAGAAGAGUGCGAUGACCUUCAUUGAACUAGGAGAUAUUUCGUUGAUUAAAUCGGACAACUGAAGAAGAUGUUGAGUAUUCGGUGGUGAUGAUCUAUGCUUGCUCUGGUUGGUUCUUGUUUUUUAGCUUUAGGCUUGUGGAUGAGAAAGGCCAUGCACUUGGUGUUGUCGCCAAGCAGCGGGUGUAAGCAUUCGGGUUCGCUGCCUUUCAUCCAGAAUGUGAGAUGUGUCUGUGCCAACCUAAACAAGGGCAGAAUUUGAGAUGUGUCCUACCUUAUGAGUGAGAGAGUCAGUUUUCCAUCAUAAUAUUUUAGUUCAGAUAAUGUUGGUUCCUUAAACAGGGAUGGUGAGUAUGAAAGAGUUUCGACUUUUUUUUAUUAUUUGUCGGCUUUCAUGUCUGGAGCAGUACAGAAUUCAGCAAAAUCAAACCUACUUCUAUAGUAAUAGAUCAUUCUAUUGUAGUUUCAGCUUCA